UGGGGAAUCUUCCGCAAUGGACGAAAGUCUGACGGAGCAACGCCGCGUGAGUGAAGAAGGUUUUCGGAUCGUAAAGCCCUUUCGUUAGGGACGAACGUGCUCUUUGUGAAUAAUGAGGAGUAAUGACGGUACCUAAAUAAGAAGCCACGGCUAACUGCGUGCCAGCAGCCGCGGUAAUACGUAGGUGGCAAGCGUUGUCCGGAAUUAUUAGGCGUAAAGCGCGCGCAGGCGGGAUAUCAAGUCUGUCUUAAAAGUGCGAGGCUCAACCUCGUGAGGGGACGGAAACUGGUAUUCUUGAGUGUCGGAGAGGAAAGUGGAAUUCCAAGUGUAGCGGUGAAAUGCGUAGAGAUUUGGAAGAACACCAGUGGCGAAGGCGACUUUCUGGACGAUGUCUGACGCUGAGGCGCGAAAGCUAGGGGAGCGAACGG
Molecule: ribosomal RNA, 428 nt
Filed under: uncultured bacterium
Lineage: Bacteria
Description: bacterial SSU rRNA
Rfam family: Bacterial small subunit ribosomal RNA
Source: RNAcentral